Molecule: long non-coding RNA, 1519 nt
Organism: Salvia splendens (bonfire salvia)
Lineage: Eukaryota; Viridiplantae; Streptophyta; Magnoliopsida; Lamiales; Lamiaceae
Exons: 2
Source: RefSeq, a predicted model, not a curated record
UCAUCCGUGGCUUAGGGGACUAAUUCCAUUAUACUUUUGAAUUAGUCUAAGGUAAUGGCUCCAACUAAAAUAUUAGUCCAAGUAAUUAAUUCUCAUGCCCAGUUAGGAUUUAAUUAUUCUGGCCCAGAAUGCAUACUUCCUUAACCAAACCGACCCAGCCCUCUUUUCUAUGGCCCAAUUUAUUUUAUUCCUCUGGGCCCCAUUACUUAAUUUAAGAGGCCCACUUUGAAAUAAUGGGCAAAGCGCAAAUUUUGGAGAAAUACUCCCAUCCGUCAGCCGCCUCUCUCUCAUUUCCUCUUCAAGCUCGAUUUUUCUUCCCCAAAUCAAAAAUCGAAUCCCUAGCAUCCUCCACUCGGUGACCCCCACCGCUGCUCGUCGUUCGCCGUCGUCCCGGCUCACUCUGGUCCUCCUUUCUCGAACCCUCUCUCUCUGUCCUCUCACGACGCUCCCAAUUUGGAGAAAUUGAGUAGCGAAGCCCCAGCUUCCAUUUGAGGUGGGGUCUGGACCGGAGGAAGAAACAACGUCGCUGACAUCUCUUCUUCGGAACGCGCACGGAGCUGCUGGAAACAGCAGGGGUUCUCCGUCGCCUCGGGAGACUUCAGCCGACGCUGCCGAUUCGCGCUGCUGGUUCUAGACGGCACGGCGUCGCCGCCGAUUCUGCUCCAUCAUGGUGCUGCUGUGCCUACACCGGCAGCUUCGAGCUCACUCUCUCUGUCGGGCUCUCUCUCUCUCCAAUGGAUCUCGUCAGCGUACGAAGUCGCUGUUCAACCACGGCAGCGUCUCCUCUAUGUUCCUAGGUUCUCAUGAUGUGGGGUUCUAAGGCAUGCUCCUCUGUUCUCGAGCUUCUAUGUUCCUACUUCUCAUGUUCUAGCUAUUUACGUGUUCUAUAUGAUGCAAUUAUGGUGUUGAGGGGAUUACUUCUUGUGAAUGUGUUAGCUUGGAGUGGUCGGUUUCUGGUUAUGCUUAAAACCGCGCUCUCUGCUUGCAAUCUGAUCCCCUUCACUCUUACUUGCUAUACAACUAAAUGGAGGGUGUUGUGGUGUGGUAUAUUGUAACUGAGGGGCUUAGCAUGUGUAUAUAUACACAUAUCUUGUAACUGAAAGCUGCCAAGUUUGUUGCUUGGCUGGAAAGAAGGAGUCCUUAGGCAAGUUUGUUGCUUGGCUUGAAAGAAGGAGUGAAAGGCUGGCUGGAAUUGCUUCUUCAACUCCAGCAAAUUUUCCAUCCUUCAAAAGGAGCUGAGGCUGGCUGCCGAGGCUGCUUCCCUCGUGGUCUCGCCCUCUCGGGCUUUCUGGAAUCUUGGCCGAGACGGCCUAUUGAUGAAAAAUCGACAUAGUUGCUAGGGGUUUCAACAAUGUAAUAGUGUAGUUCGACUUAACCUACUUCCCAACAUGUACGAAAAGUUCGAUACUAGUUGGUGUGUACUUUCUAACAAUUGUAACUCCUUAGUUUGAAUUUCUUCAUAUUGUAUUUAUAAACUUUUAUUUAAGAAAUAAAAGAUGCUCUAUCAUUCUUCAUCAAA